Panicum virgatum (switchgrass) is the source of this 672-nucleotide long non-coding RNA. RefSeq lists it as uncharacterized. The transcript is spliced from 2 exons. NCBI's taxonomy places the organism in Eukaryota, Viridiplantae, Streptophyta, Magnoliopsida, Poales, Poaceae. The record is from RefSeq and is a predicted model, not a curated record.
UAGCAGGCACAUUUAAUAAUUUUCUAAUCUUCAGAUGCAUCUAUGCAUGAAACAAUUUUUACAUGGAAAGGCAGUUACCAUCAGCCUUCAUCAUUCACUGUACUUGUAUGGUUAAAACCUAAAUGCUCGGCAAUGUGCAGAUGUACUUAUUGCUCACAGGCUUGAUGAAUCUUUCUCCUCACCUGCAUGUUUUGCUUAAAAAAAUGCUUGCACAGAACACUUGACAUUCAUGAAUGUUGGAUCUUUAAAAGAUGGCAUUGUACCUUUGCAGUUGAUGCAAGAUGAAGGGUUGUGUGCCAUAGAGGGAUUUCCAGGAGUUUUAGUUUUUCAGGUUUAAAUAGUUUCACCUAAUUUGCAAUUUAUUUACAUAAGAGAUCACUUGUUGGUAUUAUUAUUUCAGGGCAACUUGCUUAGGGAUGCAGCUUCAGUUAGUUCAGCUAUAUGAACAUGCUGAGGGGACAUGUAUACUGAGUGCCAUCAAGUUCAGAACCAAACUUUGAUGCUGCUGGUUCAUUCUCUUGAUGAAACCUAUCUUUUGUUGUUUCUGUUCCAUUUUGUUGUCUUGAGCCUGUAACUAGUUCUGAUACAUGGAAAAAAUUGUAUGUGAUCCAUUAUUUUGGUGUCAUGCUGGAUGCAAACAUUAUUGAUAUGAGGUUAUAAUUGGGGCUGUAA